GAAACUAGACACCCAAGGCCAGGAUGGUACAGAUGAGUUCCACACCUAGAAUGCAUGCUAGCUAGCUCUUGAUGAGAGAGAAAUUAAGGGAGGAGGGAGAAAAUCUUGUAGGUAGCUAGAGAGGAGAUCUAGAGAAGAGAAAGAAAAUAAAAGGGAGGGGAGUGGGGGAAAAGCUGUGCGUGGGGGCUGUGCUGUGAGGAUAAUGGAAGUGGGAGGUGGGUGUCCCUCCUCCACUGCCUCAUUUCUCUUUCUCUCUCUUAAAGACUUAACCAAUCGGUCUUUCUCUCUCUCUCUCUCUCUCUAUCCAUCCAUCUCUGCUUUUCCCUUUCAGCUGGAGGAGAUCUUGGGAGGAAAGAUAUAUAGUCCAGUGUCGUCUCUGUAGAGAGCAAAAGGGAAAGGAGCUCGCAGCAGGUACUUAAGCACUGACAUGAGUGAUCUCAUGGUCCAGAGAUACCCUCCUUCUUCUUCUUGUUCCUCCUUCCUCUCUCUUCCCGCCUCUCUCUAGGAUCUUCACCUCUCAUGCUCUUUUAGAGAGAGAGAGGGGAGAGAGAUUACUUAUAUGCAAGCUAUCGGCACGGCUAGCACGUGUGCAUGCAGGCAGAGCUGCAUCGAUUCUUGAGGUAAGCUCAUGAUGUGUGCCGGUUGCGUUGACAUCUGGUUUCUUUGUUAAAUCACUUGAUGAAGAUGGGUACCUUCUCUUUUUCCUUAUUUUUAUAGUUUGUUGAUACUGAUGCCUAUUCCACACACACAAACAUCUCUCUCAUCCUCUCUUCUUCCAGAGCUUUUGAGCUUAAGCUAGCUAGAGUAUUGGAGUUCUUCCAUGCAUACAUGCCAUGCAGCUUACCUCUCUUUCCUCCACCUCCCUCCCCCCUCUCUUUGUCUUUCCUCUAUCUAUAAUUCUGCAUGGCUCGUGGAUCCAAUUUUUUUUUUCCAUGGCAAAUCAUCCGAAAAUUUUAAAUCACUGCCCUGUUUUUUUUCAUCUUGUUAUAUAGAGUAUAUGUGUUCUUAAGUUCUUGGCACUUCUUUUUGACAGGUCAAAGCCACAACAAGCUCCACUGAAGAAGAGAGAGNNN
RNAcentral lists this long non-coding RNA (1073 nucleotides) under Triticum aestivum (bread wheat). RNAcentral describes it as "long non-coding RNA (TAES_LNC002949)". The record is from RNAcentral. Lineage: Eukaryota; Viridiplantae; Streptophyta; Magnoliopsida; Poales; Poaceae.